RNAcentral lists this ribosomal RNA (253 nucleotides) under uncultured bacterium. RNAcentral describes it as "partial 16S ribosomal RNA". It matches the Rfam family "Bacterial small subunit ribosomal RNA", at positions 524 to 776 of the family's 1533-position model. The record is from RNAcentral.
UACGUAGGGCGCAAGCGUUGUCCGGAAUUAUUGGGCGUAAAGAGCUCGUAGGCGGCGUGUCGCGUCUGCCGUGAAAGCCCAUGGCUUAACUGUGGGUCUGCGGUGGAUACGGGCAGGCUGGAGGCUGGUAGGGGCAAGCGGAAUUCCUGGUGUAGCGGUGAAAUGCGCAGAUAUCAGGAGGAACACCGGUGGCGAAGGCGGCUUGCUGGGCCAGUUCUGACGCUGAGGAGCGAAAGCGUGGGGAGCGAACAGG